ACGGGGUGCAGCAGGCGCGAAAACUUUGCAAUGUGCGAAAGCACGACAAGGUUAAUCCGAGUGGUUUGUGCUAAACAGACCUUUUGUUAGUCCUAGAAACACUAACGAAUAAGGGGUGGGCAAGUUCUGGUGUCAGCCGCCGCGGUAAAACCAGCACCUCAAGUGGUCAGGAUGAUUAUUGGGCCUAAAGCAUCCGUAGCCGGCUCUGUAAGUUUUCGGUUAAAUCUGUAUGCUCAACAUACAGGCUGCCGGGAAUACUGCAGAGCUAGGGAGUGGGAGAGGUAGACGGUACUCGGUAGGAAGGGGUAAAAUCCUUUGAUCUAUUGAUGACCACCUGUGGCGAAGGCGGUCUACCAGAACACGUCCGACGGUGAGGGAUGAAAGCUGGGGGAGCAAACCGGAUUAGAUACCCGGGUAGUCCCAGCUGUAAACUAUGCAAACUCAGUGAUGCAUUGGCUUGUGGCCAAUGCAGUGCUGCAGGGAAGCCGUUAAGUUUGCCGCCUGGAAGUACGUACGCAAGU
Molecule: ribosomal RNA, 521 nt
Filed under: uncultured archaeon
Lineage: Archaea
Description: bacterial SSU rRNA
Rfam family: Archaeal small subunit ribosomal RNA
Source: RNAcentral